Molecule: ribosomal RNA, 495 nt
Filed under: uncultured bacterium
Lineage: Bacteria
Description: bacterial SSU rRNA
Rfam family: Bacterial small subunit ribosomal RNA
Source: RNAcentral
GAAACUCGAGCUAAUACCGCAUAAGCCUUACGAGGGGAAAGCAGGGGAUCUUCGGACCUUGCGCUAUUAGAUGAGCCUGCGUCGGAUUAGCUAGUUGGUAGGGUAAUGGCCUACCAAGGCGACGAUCCGUAGCUGGUCUGAGAGGAUGAUCAGCCACACUGGGACUGAGACACGGCCCAGACUCCUACGGGAGGCAGCAGUGGGGAAUAUUGGACAAUGGGCGCAAGCCUGAUCCAGCAAUGCCGCGUGUGUGAAGAAGGCCUUAGGGUUGUAAAGCACUUUCAGUAGGGAAGAAAAGCACAGGUUUAAUACUCCUGUGUCUUGACGGUACCUACAGAAGAAGCACCGGCUAACUCCGUGCCAGCAGCCGCGGUAAUACNGAGGGUGCAAGCGUUUAAUCGGAAUUACUGGGGCGUUAAGCGCGCGUAGGCGGUUAUAUAAGUCGGGUGUGAAAGCCCCGGGGCUCAACCUGGGGAACUGCAUUCGAUACUGUAU